UGGCGGCAUGCCUAACACAUGCAAGUCGAACGGACAUAACCAAGUUAUAGCGAUAUAAUGCGGGUAUGUUAGUGGCGAACGGGUGAGUAACACGUGAGCAACCUGCCCUGUACAACGGGAUAACAGUUGGAAACGACUGCUAAUACGGUAUAAGACCACACUGCGGCAUCGCAGAGGGGUAAAAGUGAAUUAGCGGUACAGGAUGGGCUCGCGUCCAAUUAGCUAGUUGGUGAGGUAACGGCUCACAAAGGCGACGAUUGGUAGCCGACCUGAGAGGGUGAUCGGCCACACUGGAACUGAGACACGGUCCAGACUCCUACGGGAGGCAGCAGUGGGGAAUAUUGGGCAAUGGAAGGAAACUCUUACCCAGCAAUGCCGCGUGAAGGAAGAAGGUCUUCGGAUUGUAAACUUCUUUUAUUGGGGACGAAUAAAUGACGGUACCCGAUGAAUAAGCCCCGGCUAACUAUGUGCCAGCCGCUGC
RNAcentral lists this ribosomal RNA (481 nucleotides) under uncultured bacterium. RNAcentral's name for it is "bacterial SSU rRNA". It matches the Rfam family "Bacterial small subunit ribosomal RNA", at positions 37 to 518 of the family's 1533-position model. The record is from RNAcentral.